This 605-nucleotide ribosomal RNA is filed under the name uncultured fungus. RNAcentral's name for it is "bacterial SSU rRNA". It matches the Rfam family "Eukaryotic small subunit ribosomal RNA", at positions 253 to 829 of the family's 1831-position model. The record is from RNAcentral. Lineage: Eukaryota; Fungi.
AUAAUAACUUCUCGAAUCGCAUGGGCCUUGUUGUUGGCGAUGCUUCAUUCAAAUCAUCUGCCUAUCAACUUUCGAUGGUAGGAUAGAGGCUACCAUGGUGUUCAACGGGUAACGGGGAAUAAGGGUUCGAUUCCGGAGAGGGAGCCUGAGAAACGGCUACCACAUCCAAGGAAGGCAGCAGGCGCGCAAAUUACCCAAUCCCGACACGGGGAGGUAGUGACAAUAAAUAACAAUAUCAGGGCCCUUUUGGGUCUUAUAAUUGGAAUGAGUACAAUUUAAAUCCCUUAACGAGGAACAAUUGGAGGGCAAGUCUCGGUGCAAGGCAGCCCGCGGUAAUUUCCAAGGUCCAAUUAACGUGAUAUUAUCAAACAUGUCGUGUGCGCAUGUUAAAAGACGCUCGAUAAGUUGAACUUCAGACACUGGCUGGAUCGGUCUGCCCGAAAGGGUAUGUACUUGUCCGGACUGGGCCUUAACUCUUGGUGAGCCGGCAUGCCCUUCAUUGGGUGUGUCGAGGAAACCAGGACUUUUACCUUGAGAAAAUUAGAGUGUUCAAAAGCAGGCUUAUGCCUUGAAAUACAUUAGGCAUGGAAUAAUAAAAUAGGACG